CCUACGGGAGGCAGCAGUGGGGAAUAUUGCACAAUGGGGGAAACCCUGAUGCAGCGACGCCGCGUGAGCGAUGAAGGAUUGCGGUAUGUAAAGCUCUAUCAGCAGGGAAGAAGAUGACGGUACCUGACGAAGAAGCCCCGGCUAACUACGUGCCAGCAGCCGCGGUAAUACGGAGGGGGCAAGCGUGAUCCGGAUUGACUGGGUGUAAAGGGAGCGGAGGCGGCGAUGCAAGCCAGAUGUGAAAGCCCGGGCUCCACCCCGGGACUGCCUUUGGAACUGUGUGGCUGGAGUGUCGGAGGGGCAGUCGGAAUUCCUAUUGUAGCGGUGAACUGCGUAGAUCUUAGGCG
Molecule: ribosomal RNA, 347 nt
Filed under: uncultured bacterium
Lineage: Bacteria
Description: partial 16S ribosomal RNA
Rfam family: Bacterial small subunit ribosomal RNA
Source: RNAcentral